GGAUGACACUUUUCGGAGCGUAAACUCCUUUUCUUAGGGAAGAAUUCUGACGGUACCUAAGGAAUAAGCACCGGCUAACUCCGUGCCAGCAGCCGCGGUAAUACGGAGGGUGCAAACGUUACUCGGAAUCACUGGGCGUAAAGGGCGCGUAGGCGGAUUAUCAAGUCUCUUGUGAAAUCUAAUGGCUUAACCAUUAAACUGCUUGGGAAACUGAUAAUCUAGAGUGGGGGAGAGGCAGAUGGAAUUGGUGGUGUAGGGGUAAAAUCCGUAGAUAUCACCAAGAAUACCCAUUGCGAAGGCGAUCUGCUGGAACUUAACUGACGCUAAGGCGCGAAAGCGUGGGGAGCAAACAGGAUUAGAUACCCUGGUAGUCCACGCCCUAAACGAUGUACACUAGUUGUUGGGGUGCUAGUCAUCUCAGUAAUGCAGCUAACGCAUUAAGUGUACCGCCGGGGGAGUACGGUCGCAAGAUUAAAACUCAAAGGAAUAGACGGGGACCCGCACAAGCGGUGGAGCAUGUGGUUUAAUUCGAAGAUACGCGAAGAACCUUACCUAGGCUUGAUAUCCAACAAAUUCUGUAGAGAUACGGAAGUGCUAGCUUGCUAGAAUGUUGAGACAGGUGCUGCACGGCUGUCGUCAGCUCGUGUCGUGAGAUGUUGGGUUAAGUCCCGCAACGAGCGCAACCCACGUAUUUAGUUGCUAACAGUUAGGCUGAGCACUCUAAAUAGACUGCCUUCGUAAGGAGGAGGAAGGUGUGGACGACGUCAAGUCAUCAUGGCCCUUAUGCCUAGGGCGACACACGUGCUACAAUG
RNAcentral lists this ribosomal RNA (812 nucleotides) under uncultured bacterium. Its description in RNAcentral is "bacterial SSU rRNA". It matches the Rfam family "Bacterial small subunit ribosomal RNA", at positions 406 to 1232 of the family's 1533-position model. The record is from RNAcentral.